AUGGAACACCUGACUACCAUUCAAAUCGCAAUGGGGGGGGGGGGAAUGUGCUUAGCUCCCACUAAAUUCUCCCUAUAUCAAAGCCACCCACAGAAGUCAGCAUCUCUCUGAGCUCAAAAGGUUAAAGGUAAUUCCUCGUUCGCACAGCUCGGGCGCCACCUAGCCGUAAUUAGGGCCCCGCACGCUCGGGCUGCCCAUGGGUUGGGGCUGCGUUGCCCUUGCCGAGCGGUAGGAGGAGAGGGGUUCGCUUGAUUCUGUUGCCGCUGGUCGUAUCCCCUGGCGCCAGCGGGCUCCUCUGGCUGCAGCAGCCGCCGAUAGGGCAGGACCCAGCGGGGAGCAGAGGCAGCAGUUCCCCUCGGCGCCUGGGCGUGUGCAGCCAGCGGCAGGUUCUGCGGCCAGGGCCAUGCGUACCGGACAGACAAAAGCCUGGGCGAGCGAGGCGUGAGGAAAGGCGCCCAGGGAAGGAGAGGGAGGCGCGUACGCACAGAUCCAUCUGGAAGGGGUUUUGCCUGCUGCCGCUGCCGCCGCCGCCGCGCCAGGCUUGCCGAGAUCACCGGGCGCCAGGGGAUGCCAGCUCGCCUCCUCUUCCAAUGUUUCACUGGGGCAAGUGGAAGAAAAGGAUGGGAGCGACCACUUCUUCUUCCAAGAGACCCGUGUUCGAUGAGAAGGAGGAUGAAAACUUCUUUAAAAACCAGUGAAGAUUGCUCGAGUGCAGAUACCACCAUCAAAGCCAGAAAAUCAGCCAUCACCCAACCCUUGCAAUCCACAACCCUAACUUUGCCUUCUCCACAGCACCCCAGUCACAUCUACCAUCCAACAACAGAUCCCUUCCUUCUCUGUUGCAAAUUUCCAGUAGUGAGUGAACAAUCUCAAUCUCUGUGUGUGUGUGUUUGUAUAUGUAUAGUUUAUUUGUUUGACAAUUGUUUUAAUUAUUUAUGAAAUAACUUUCUAAUGUGCUGGAGAAUGUUUUGUAGUAUAUUUUGCUACAAGGAUGUUUAGUAAUGUGGGACACUGAUAGUAAAGAGGCGCUGUCCAGUUAAAAUAUAGGCAUUAAAAAAGUAAGUUAAAAGUAGUUUCAGGUACUCAAAAGUCC
Molecule: long non-coding RNA, 1093 nt
Filed under: Gopherus agassizii (Agassiz's desert tortoise)
Lineage: Eukaryota; Metazoa; Chordata; Testudines; Testudinidae
Description: lncRNA (ENSGAGG00000013804.1)
Source: RNAcentral